UACGGGGGGGGCAAGCGUUGUUCGGAAUUACUGGGCGUAAAGCGUGCGCAGGCGGUUUUGUAAGCCAGGUGUGAAAUCCCCGGGCUCAACCUGGGAAUGGCAUUUGGGACUGCAAGGCUGGAGUGCGGCAGAGGAGACUGGAAUUCCUGGUGUAGCAGUGAAAUGCGUAGAUAUCAGGAGGAAUACCGAUGGCGAAGGCAGGUCUCUGGGCUGACACUGACGCUCAUGCACGAAAGCGUGGGGAGCAAACAGG
Molecule: ribosomal RNA, 253 nt
Filed under: uncultured bacterium
Lineage: Bacteria
Description: partial 16S ribosomal RNA
Rfam family: Bacterial small subunit ribosomal RNA
Source: RNAcentral